CCUACGGGAGACAGCAGUGAGGAAUAUUGGUCAAUGGGCGCGAGCCUGAACCAGCCAAGUAGCGUGAAGGAUGACUGCCCUACGGGUUGUAAACUUCUUUUAUAAAGGAAUAAAGUGAGGCACGUGUGCCGUUCUGAAUGUAUUUUAUGAAUAAGGAUCGGCUAACGCCGUGCCAGCAGCCGCGGUAAUACGGAGGAUCCGAGCGUUAUCCGGAUUUAUUGGGUUUAAAGGGAGCGUAGAUGGGUUGGUAAGGCAGUUGUGAAAGUUUGCGGCUCAACCGUAAGAUUGCAAUUGAUACUGGCAGCCUUGAGUACAGGUGAGGUAGGCGGAAUUCGUGGUGUAGCGGUGAAAUGCGUAGAUAUAAGGAAGAACUCCGAUUGCGAAGGCAGCCUACUAAACUGCAACUGACAUUGAGGCUCGAAAGUGUGGGUAGCAAACAGGAUUAGAUACCCCAGUAGUC
Molecule: ribosomal RNA, 460 nt
Filed under: uncultured bacterium
Lineage: Bacteria
Description: partial 16S ribosomal RNA
Rfam family: Bacterial small subunit ribosomal RNA
Source: RNAcentral